Molecule: non-coding RNA, 86 nt
Organism: Tulasnella calospora MUT 4182
Lineage: Eukaryota; Fungi; Basidiomycota; Agaricomycetes; Cantharellales; Tulasnellaceae
Source: the annotation of a GenBank genome assembly
GACCCCCUGGUGGUGCAGCUGGAAUCACCUGGGUCCCCUGAGGUGUGGAAUCUCAGAGGGUGUCGGUUCGAAUCCGAUGGGGGUCA